GAUGAAGAACGUAGCGAAAUGCGAUACGUAGUGUGAAUUGCAGAAUUCAGUGAAUCAUCGAAUCUUUGAACGCACAUUGCACCUCUCGGUAUUCCGGGAGGUAUGCCUGUUCGAGCGUCAUUUGUACCCUCAAGCUCUGCUUGGUGUUGGGUGUUUGUUCCGCCACUGUGUGUGAACUCGCCUCAAAACAAUUGGCAGCCGGCGUACUUGUUUCGGAGCGCAGCACAUUUUGCGAUCCAGAUCAACGUACAGCGGCAUCCAAGAAGCCUUAUUUAACGCUCUUGACCUCGGAUCAGGUAGGGAUACCCGCUGAACUUAAGCAUAUCAAUAAGCGGAGGA
Molecule: unclassified non-coding RNA, 339 nt
Filed under: soil metagenome
Description: partial contains 5.8S ribosomal RNA, internal transcribed spacer 2, and large subunit ribosomal RNA
Rfam family: 5.8S ribosomal RNA (bases 1-120)
Source: RNAcentral